This 6130-nucleotide long non-coding RNA is filed under the name Sus scrofa (pig). RNAcentral describes it as "lncRNA (ENSSSCG00040025908.1)". Lineage: Eukaryota; Metazoa; Chordata; Mammalia; Artiodactyla; Suidae. The record is from RNAcentral.
UUUUUUUUUUUUUUUUUGUCUUUUUAGGGCUGUACCCACGCCAUAUGGAGGUUCCCAGGCUAGGGGUCAAAUCAGAGUGUAGUUGCUGGCCUACACCACAGCCACAGCAACACGGGAUCCGAGCCAUGUCUGUGACCUACACCACAGCUUAUGGAAACACCGGAUCCUUAACCCACUGAAUGAGGCCAGGGAUGGAAUCUGCAUCCUCAUGGAUGAUAGUCAGAUUCACUUCUGCUGCGCCACAACUGGAACUCCGGGAUUACCUUGUAUUAGAUACAACCCCUGAAAUAUUAUGCUAACUCUGGUCGAGAAGGAAGGGUAGUUAACAUACAAACCACCAGAAAUAUCUUGGGAAGACUACAAUGUUUCCACUCAUUCUUAUUUGAGAGAAUGUGAAUGAGAUGUGGGUUUUUUGUUUGCUUUUAAUUGUAGAUGAAUGAAGAACAUCUGAAAUGUAAUAUUAAUGCUUAAGGUCCAACAUCAAUCAUCCAACUGAGAGGCAGAUGCAAGCAGACACAAGAGGCCACAGAGGAUGCUUGACCCUGUUUACAGUGAUGCCUCCCACCUGUUUCUUCUCUUCUAAGCCCAAUGCUUACAGUUCAAGCUGGGGCUUGAACUGUAAGGGAUCCAGAAUGGAAAAGAAAUAGGAUGCUUCAAAGGGCUCAGCAGCCAAGAGACAAAGUAAAUAGAUGUUCACAAUAUGGAAGCCAAAACAUCUGAAACAUACAGAUGAAGAAAUUUAACCUUCUAAAAAUGACGGUCAAAUGGCGCCACUACCGGAAUUUAAUUUAUCUCUAUAACUCAGAUCAAGAGCAUAAAGUCCCUUCGGUCAUUUAUAAUAUUGGUGUAUGAGAUGUAUCAACCUAAGGAAAUCUUUAUAGCGUUCAGUGGUAGUCUUUUUUACCUGCCUUAACACUAAUUUCUUUUUUGUUUAAUAUGUAUUGUUCCCCCCACCAGCUUUAUUGAAAUAUUUGACAUAUAACAUUUUGUAAUACAUUGUGAUGAUUUGAUAAACCUAUAUAUUGUGAAAUGAUUACCAUAAUAAGGUUAAUUUACACAUCCUUCACUUAACAUAGUCACCAGUUUUUUGUUAUGGUGAGAAUAUUUAAGAUUUACCCCUGCAGUGAUUUUCAUUCUCUUAUAUUAAUUUUAUUCAUUCAUUUCUUUAAAAUUCAACUUACAUUUAGGUAAUACUAGGAAAUAUUAAUAUUUAUAGGAUGAGGAAAUGAAUGGAUGUAAUUGCAUUUAUUUCUCAUAUCAGCAAUCUGAUGAAACAGAUACUAUUCUCAUAUUGUAGAUGGGAAAACUAGAGCUCUGAAUUGUUAAGUCACUUGACCAAGGACAGAAACUCCUAGUCUGUCUGUCAUCAAAACAUUAUACAUAUUGUAUGUCUAUCUUCAUAUUUCUGGAGAUCUGAGGAGGAUAAGGAUGGAAAGUAGGGAGAUAGAAAAAAAGUGGUAAUAUUCACUUUAUAAAGGGUAGCUUUGCUUUUUUGUGAAUGAGAUUCCCUGAUGUGUAUAUUAUUAGAAAGUCUAAGGAAGAAACCCAUAGUUUGGCAAAAUACUGAAUAGAGGAACAAGGGCUUCUGCUAAUGAUUUCCUGAAACUUGCCUCAGGCUCGCAGCUGGGAAGAAGGAAAUGAUUGCAUCCCAAGGCACACAGUAACUUACUAUGGAUGGUUUCAGAUAUUUCUUAGGUUGGGAAACUUAAGGGAAAAAUAAAAUAUUAAGGUGAGGGUUGAAUUAGGACACUAAAAAAUGCUCAGUAGCCCCGGGGCAAUCCCUGGAUACUUGCUUCCAUACUUCUAACUUGCAACCAAACCUUUGGUUCCACCAUUUUAGCUGAUUGUUUAUUACUUGCCUUUGCUCAUAUAUUAUUGCUGCCUUCUGAAAUAAAACACUUCAAUCCAGGGAUCGUAGCAACAGUACCAGUCUCUUGGUGAUUUAUUCUUCAUCACUCUUCCAGAGGUAGCUCCCACCUUGUGUUGUCACUACCCUCUCUUCCUUCCUGAUAUUUCUAAAACAUAUUUCCCUUUAUUUUUUCCCAUCCUCAAAAGGGGGCUAACCCGUGUUUCUUUGUUUUUCACCAUCUGUAAAGGUCACUAUAUAUUUUUCAUACUCUCUUAUCCAUUUUUUCCAUUCCUCUUCAUUCUAUUAAACACUUUUAAUUUUAGGAACACAUUUUUCAUGUUCAUCAUAAUUACUAGAUAUCUGAAAGCUUGCUUUGAAUAAUAGUACCCCCAGUAGGAAGAAGGGUUAAUUUGAUAUCUGUUGGACAGCCAAAAUGGAAUAAAAUUUUCACUUUUCCCAUUUUUAUAAUUUGCCUAAAAAUGUAUAAAACUAUUUAUUUUAUUAAGUAUAGUACAUUAACCUUGUGAAUAUGCUAAUGACUAAAAAUCUGCUGUCUCGGCAACUUCCCUGAACAUAAAAUUUAUCUUUGUUCAUCACAGAGAUUUUAAUUAUAUAUUAUUAUUUCCUAAGAGCACCUCCUGUUCCAAAUUGAUGCAAUCUUCAAAAUGGAAGUGAUGUUCAGUGAAAGCCGCAUAAGAAGCAAAGCAGAACCUGUGGCUAACACUGACUGUGGGCAUCAGUCAAGUUCAACUGCAUAUUUCUAUCUGCUGACCUCUCUAGGACUCUGAUUGCUCAGGUCAGUGGUCACUGACUCUUAGCAGGGGAUAAAAAAGAGCUUUUAUUCUUUGAGCGCCAUUACAAUCCCAAGUUUCUUGGUGGAUUCUUAUGUAGCACAGGUCAGGAUAAAAUCACAUUAUUCCAAGCAAUGCAAAAGUUAUAAAUUAUUCUUCCUGGCCAUGGUGAAAUAAAAAAUGGCAAAGUGCAAUCAAAUGUUCAAAGAUUUCUCUCAAAGCUGAGAAAUGAAUGAUGUUAUCUGGUAUGACAUUAUAUGUUCCUUCAGUAAAACAAAUCCAGAUUCAAUCAUUCAAGGGACACUUCCUGAGAUCAUGAUAAAUUCUUAGGUUAGCCUUCUAAAUUUCGAGGUGUGUGGAAGGGCUUUUUAUUUUGUGUCUGGUUAAGAUUCCUAUCUAUAUCAGUCUCCUACUGGCCUGGCUGUGAUGAAAGGCACAGGGAUUGCCCCACAGUCAGCUCAAUUAUUCUCGUCCUGAUUGAGGUUUUGGCUGGGUGAUGAUGAACUGCCAUCACCCAGUGGCUGAUUUAGUGGCUGAUUUGCUCAGAGUAAAUCCCCAGAUGGCUUUAUUUUUAGAUUCGAGACAAGAUUCCAAAAGACAGCAUUUUGUCCCUACUUCCAUGGUGAUUAUAGCUCAAAGAGCUGGAGGGAGGUAUUCUUAAUGGCCUCAAAAGUGGUUAGGAAUGAGUUAAAUUUGACCAGAUUAGAUAAUGGCUACUGAUUACUUAGUGCUCUAUAAGAGUUGAUGUCUCCCUACUUUUUAUAGGACAGACCAAACAGCAUCUGAAAAAUUCUGCUAUUUUUUUUCACCUAUCUGUCCUGCUCAAUGCUGGGAUGUCAAUAGGACAUUCUAUAUUUAGCUUCCUGAAUCUAGAAAUUAAAUGCCAGCAUGAUCCAUUCAGAGUUGUGUUUCUAUACAUGUGGGUUUGUUUAGCCCUGAGGGAAAAAGUUGCAGGUGACCUUUCUUUCUUGUGCUUACUAGACUCAAAAAUACAUAUAGAAGUUAGACGAGACCAGCGCAGAAGGACGGAUAUAUAUAUAUAUAUAUAUAUAAAAAGAUCCACAAUUGGUUGAAUCUGUAGAUCCGUAACUGUGGCUACAGAAGAACCACAUAUAUAGGGAGCUGAUUAUAAGUUAUAAGCAAAUCUUUGACUACAUAGAAGAUCAGUGCUCCUAACCCCUGCAUUGUUCAAGGGUCAACUGGAUUUUCUGUUUCUAUGGAUCUGACUAGAUACCUCAUGUAUGUGGAGUAAUGCACUGCAUGUGCUUCUGUGACUGGCUUAUUUCAUGCAGCAAAAUGUCCUCAAGGUUCAACUUCAUUGCAGCAUAUGACAGGGUUUUCCUGGUUUUUUUUUUUGUGACCGAAUAAUAUCCCAUUGUAUGUAUAUAUCACAUUUUCUUUAUACAUUCAGCAACUGGUGGACAUUUAGAUUGUUUCUGGCUCUAUUAUGAAUAUUGCUACAAUAAACAAAGGAGUAAAAUAUCUCUUAGAGACUUUGAUUUAAAUUAUUAUGGAUAUAUGCCCAGAAGUGAGAUUUCUGAGUCAAAUAGUUGUUUUACUUUUAAUUUUUCGAAGAACCUGAAUACUGUGUUCUAUAUUGGCUACACCAAUUUACACCAAUUUACACCAACACUGCACAGGGUUCAAAUUUCUCUACAUCCUGGCCAACACUUGUUAUUUUCAGUUUUGUUUUGUUUUGCUUUGAUUAUAGUAGCCAUCCUAAUACCUCAUUGUACUUUUUAUUUGCAUUUCCCUGAUGUUCAAUAAUACUGAACAUCUUUUCACAUAUAUAUUGACUUUUUGUAUAUAUUCUUUGAAGAAAUGUUAAUUUUUAAUUGAGUCAUUCAGUUUUUUUGCUAUUUAAUGAGAUCUUAAACUUGCUAGGACUUGUUUUGUGAUCUAACAUGUGAUCUAUCCUAGAGUAUGUUCCUGUGUGCAUGAGAAGAAUGUGUAUUCUAUUGUUGUUGGGUGUAAUGUUCUAUAAAUAUGUUAGGUCAUUUGUUCUAUAAUGUUAAACUUUUCUGUUUCCCUCAAUCUUUUCUCUGAAUGUUUUAUUCUUUAUGAAAGUGAGAUAUUGAAAUCCUCUAUGAUUAUUGCUUUGCUGUCUAUUUCUUCAUUCAGUUCUAUCAGGUUUUCUUAAUACAUUUGGGUGCUCUGGUGUUGAGUGCUUAUGUAAUUGUAAUUAUUAUAUCUUCCCAAUGAAUUGACCCUUUUAGCAUUAUAUAAUGUUCUUCUUUGUCUCUUUUGACAGGUUUUGACUUAAAGUCUAUUUUGUCUGAUAUAAAUAUGGCCAUUCAUUUGACUAUUUUUAGUUACCAUCUCUUUUAUUUACCCUCUGCAUGAAUUGUAUUUUUCUAUUCUUUCACUUUCAGGAAUGUGUGUCCUUUAAAUAUAAAACUAAUCUCUCAUAGAUAGCAUACAAUUGAAGGUUGGCUUUUUAUCUAUUAAACCACUCUAUUUCUCUUGACUGGAGUUUACAUUUACAUUUAAAGUAAUUAUUGAUGACAGGAUUAAGAUGGUAGAAAAGAAGGACUAGAGCUCAACUUCUCUAAUAAAAACAGCAAAAUUACAAUCAAAUGCAGAACAACCUUCAAUCAAAUCGACUGGAAACUUUCAAAAAGAUAUCCUACUUCAGAAGACAAAGAGGAGGCCACAUCAAGAGGUAGAAGGAGUGAUCAUGUGAUAUAAGCAACCCCAUACCUGCUGGGUGGGAACCCUAUAGACUGGAAAGUAACUGUAUCACAGAGACUCACCUAUAGGAGUGAGAGUUCUGAGCCCCAAGUCAGGUCCCCGUGCCAAGGGAUCUAGCACCGGGAGAAAGAGCGCCUGGAGCAUCUGGCACUGAAGGCCACUGGGGCUUGUGUGCAGGAGCACCAUAGGAUUGGGGAAUUGGAGAUCCAAUUCUUGAAAGGCACACACAGUCUUUCAUGUGCACUGGGUUCCAGGGCAAAGCAGAGGCUCCAUAGGAAUCUGGGUUGGACCUGGCUGGAGUUCUUGGAGGAUCUCCUGGGAAAACAGGGGUGACUGUGAUUCAUUAUGGGGGAAGGACAUUGGAGGCAAAGCUCUCGGGAAGGGAAUAUUCAUCAGCAUGUGUUCUUCUAGAGGUGGCCAUUUUGGGAAAAUCUGACCCCACCCAUCAGCACUGUGAAGCCCCAGGCCAAACAAUAAUCCAGAUAGAAUCAGAGCCCUACCUAUCAGUAAAGAGGCUGCCUAAAGAGCCCCCAGGCACCCUCUAAUCUCACCUAGAGACACAGACCCACAAAACAGACACAGGAAUCAGCCCCACGUACCAGUGGGCAGGCACCAGUAGUCCCAUCAUAAAGCUUAUAGCAGGCCUUUGUACCAACUUCAGCCACAAGGGGGGGGAAGACAUCAAAAGUAAGACAGGCUAAUAGUGGGGGACUUCAACACUCCCCUUACAGCAAUGGACACAUCAUUCAGACAGAAAAUUCAUAAGGAGACACAGGCCCUGAAUGAAGCAUUAGACCAG